Molecule: small RNA, 80 nt
Filed under: Microvirga massiliensis
Lineage: Bacteria; Pseudomonadati; Pseudomonadota; Alphaproteobacteria; Hyphomicrobiales; Methylobacteriaceae
Description: Repression of heat shock gene expression (ROSE) element
Rfam family: Repression of heat shock gene expression (ROSE) element
About the family: This family represents a 5' UTR cis-regulatory element found in heat shock mRNAs and is known as the ROSE (repression of heat shock gene expression) element. The ROSE element is a negative regulator of heat shock gene expression.
Source: RNAcentral
UCGAGCUUGGCAUCGGGCGCCGGCAGGUGUCCGGCGUCGCUUGUAUCCAUGUUGCUCUAUGGAGGAUGUGGCUAUGAGAA